This 466-nucleotide ribosomal RNA is filed under the name uncultured bacterium. Its description in RNAcentral is "partial 16S ribosomal RNA". It matches the Rfam family "Bacterial small subunit ribosomal RNA", at positions 28 to 507 of the family's 1533-position model. The record is from RNAcentral.
GAUGAACGCUGGCGGCGUGCUUAACACAUGCAAGUCGAACGGAAAGGCUCCUGCUUGCAGGGGUACUCGAGUGGCGAACGGGUGAGUAACACGUGGGUGAUCUGCCCUGCACUUCGGGAUAAGCCUGGGAAACUGGGUCUAAUACCGGAUAGGACGAUGGUUUGGAUGCCAUUGUGGAAAGUUUUUUCGGUGUGGGAUGAGCUCGCGGCCUAUCAGCUUGUUGGUGGGGUAAUGGCCUACCAAGGCGUCGACGGGUAGCCGGCCUGAGAGGGUGUACGGCCACAUUGGGGCUGAGAUACGGCCCAGACUCCUACGGGAGGCAGCAGUGGGGAAUAUUGCACAAUGGGCGCAAGCCUGCUGCAGCGACGCCGCGUGGGGGAUGACGGCCUUCGGGUUGUAAACUCCUUUCGCUAGGGACGAAGCGCAAGUGACGGUACCUGGAGAAGAAGCACCGGCUAACUACGUG